AGGGCAACAGCCCAGAUCGUCAGCUAAGGUCCCUAAAUGUAAGUUAAGUGGUAAAGGAUGUGGGAUUGCACAGACAACCAGGAUGUUGGCUUAGAAGCAGCCACUCAUUCAAAGAGUGCGUAAUAGCCCACUGGUCGAGUGAUCCUGCGCCGAAGAUUUCCGGGGCUAAAACUUACUACCGAAGCUACGGCAUCAGUAAUGA
RNAcentral lists this ribosomal RNA (202 nucleotides) under Clostridioides difficile. RNAcentral's name for it is "partial 23S ribosomal RNA". It matches the Rfam family "Bacterial large subunit ribosomal RNA", at positions 1016 to 1217 of the family's 2925-position model. Lineage: Bacteria; Bacillati; Bacillota; Clostridia; Peptostreptococcales; Peptostreptococcaceae. The record is from RNAcentral.